RNAcentral lists this ribosomal RNA (478 nucleotides) under uncultured bacterium. Its description in RNAcentral is "partial 16S ribosomal RNA". It matches the Rfam family "Bacterial small subunit ribosomal RNA", at positions 28 to 523 of the family's 1533-position model. The record is from RNAcentral.
GACGAACGCUGGCGGCGUGCUUAACACAUGCAAGUCGAACGGUAAGGCCCUUCGGGGUACACGAGUGGCGAACGGGUGAGUAACACGUGGGUGAUCUGCCCUGCACUUCGGGAUAAGCAUGGGAAACUGGGUCUAAUACCGGAUAGGACUCCUGGCUUCAUGGUUGGGGGUGGAAAGCUUUUGCGGUGUGGGAUGGGCCCGCGGCCUAUCAGCUUGGUGGUGGGGUGAUGGCCUACCAAGGCGACGACGGGUAGCCGGCCUGAGAGGGUGACCGGUCACACUGGGACGGAGAGACGGCCCAGACUCCUACGGGAGGCAGCAGUGGGGAAUAUUGCACAAUGGGCGGAAGCCUGAUGCAGCGACGCCGCGUGAGGGAUGACGGCCUUCGGGUUGUAAACCUCUUUCAGCUAUGACGAAGCGCAAGUGACGGUAGUAGCAGAAGAAGGACCGGCCAACUACGUGCCAGCAGCCGCCGUAA